RNAcentral lists this ribosomal RNA (253 nucleotides) under uncultured bacterium. RNAcentral's name for it is "partial 16S ribosomal RNA". It matches the Rfam family "Bacterial small subunit ribosomal RNA", at positions 524 to 776 of the family's 1533-position model. The record is from RNAcentral.
GACAGAGGUGCCGAGCGUUAGGCGGAAUCACUGGGCUUAAAGCGUGUGUAGGCGGGUCGUUAAGUGUCUUGUGAAAUCCCACCGCUCAACGGUGGAACUGCUGGGCAUACUGGCGAUCUUGAGCCACCUAGGGGCAGACGGAACAAGCGGUGGAGCGGUGAAAUGCGUAGAUAUCGCCUGGAACGCCGACGGUGAAAACAGUCUGCUGGGGGUGUGCUGACGCUGAGACACGAAAGCCAGGGGAGCGAACGGG